CUCAGGAGUUCCUCCAGUCUCUGUCAGAGCAUAGGGCUCUGCUACCAGUGAGGGUACUGGGCAGGGAUUUUUGAAGACAGCAGGAAGAGAGAAGAAGAGAAAGGUCUGCAUGUUGGACUUAAAAAUGGUUCAAAUGCAAGAGACCAGAAUGUCCUAUGGGGGCUAAUUCCUUCAUUCUGGGCCAUAUAAUGAAGAGGACAUGGAACACAACUGCAAGCUAAUCAACAACAUAUAAGGUAACCAAAAUAGAUACAUAUAUAUAUUUGUAAACACUGUAAUUUUGGAGUAAUUUGUUAUUUCAGUACAACCUAGUGAAAGCUGGCUAAUACAUUAUGGGAACAUACAUUGAAAUAGAAAUUAGGAGUAAUCUCAAUUUUUUUUGGAACAACUUUUUAAAAAGAGCUGGACUUUUCAUAUCCCUUAUCUAUCCUCAUGCAUAGAUGACAUGACCAGUGUAGAUUUACAGCCCUUUGAGACUGGGCAG
Molecule: long non-coding RNA, 484 nt
Organism: Trichechus manatus latirostris (Florida manatee)
Lineage: Eukaryota; Metazoa; Chordata; Mammalia; Sirenia; Trichechidae
Exons: 3
Source: RefSeq, a predicted model, not a curated record